GGAAAAUAUUGGGGCUAAUCGGAUCUUGAAACUGAAAAAAAGAACGGGAACAGAGAGGGAGAAUUUCUGUUCUUCGUAGAAAGGAACGGAACAGAGGGAAAUUUCUGUUCUUCUUUCCUCUCUGUGGUUGGUAGCAACGGGAAGGCUGAAAUCGAACCUUUCUCUCCUACUCUGCUCGGUGAAACAGAGUUCCUUACGGGGGGUGGCAGUUGCAUAAAGGAGAGUUCC
RNAcentral lists this long non-coding RNA (228 nucleotides) under Musa acuminata (dwarf banana). RNAcentral's name for it is "long non-coding RNA (MACU_LNC011067)". Lineage: Eukaryota; Viridiplantae; Streptophyta; Magnoliopsida; Zingiberales; Musaceae. The record is from RNAcentral.